RNAcentral lists this non-coding RNA (3150 nucleotides) under Pan troglodytes (chimpanzee). The record is from RNAcentral. Lineage: Eukaryota; Metazoa; Chordata; Mammalia; Primates; Hominidae.
ACAGACAAAUAAGACGUUACAGCCUUACAGGCUGGCUUUUGAGGGGUGGGAGAGGAAGAAAACCAAAUACUCUCGCUGGAUAAAAACGUAAACCACAGGAGACACCUGGACUUGAAGCAGGAACCUCUUGACGUGUAGGCAGAGGCUCUUCCACCAAGCUAUACCCUCUACAGUGGCAGGCUCCUCUCAUUAGCGCCUUUCAAGGCUGCAGUCCCACGCCUCUUCUGAUCUCUGGCUGUUCCUGGGCUCUCACUUUCGGGGAACUGGUGCUGGCAACACGGUUCCUCGCCCCACCGCCACGACUCACUCACGGAUUCACUCCUACACGUCACCAGCAUCACCCUCCUGCCCAGGCCCGGGACACUGGCCAGGGAGCUCAAGGCCUCGUCCUGCCUCCUCUGGGAUCUAGUAGGACUGCAAGAAGAACCUGUCCGGGACACCCGUUCUCCUCCCUUCCCUCACUGGCCUGACCGUCUUCUCUCUGCAGUUGCUGUUGUCCUGCUGUUAGCACUCCCUGCCCCUCCUCUACUCGGAUUCUUAUUCCCUGAUUCCCAUACUGAAAAUCGUGGGACUUGCCAGCCUCCAUAAUUUCAUGAAUCAACUCCUUAAAAUUAAUCUCCAUAUAGAUAGAUGAUAGAUAGACAGAUAGAUGAUAGAGCUAUCUUUCUCUGUCUACCGAUACAGAUCUAUCUAUCUGUAUCAAUCAAUCUAUGUCUAUCUAUCUAUCUAUCCAUAUAUCCACCCACAUCCUAUUGGUCCUGUUUCUCUGAAGAACCCUGACUACGAUACCAGCUAAACCCCUGUUCAAUAACAAUGAAAAGAUGAGAACCUUUCAUUGAUAAAAACUGAGAGAAUUUGCCAUCAGCAAACUCUCACUAAAGUAAAUUUUAUUGUCUUUUGAGACAGGAUCUCACUCUGUUGCUCAGGCUAGAGUGCAGUGGCAUUAUCGUGGCUCACUGCAGCCUUGACCUCCCAGUGGGGAGGUCCUUAAGAGAUCCUCCCACCUCAGCCUCUCAAGUAGCUGGGACUACAAGGGUGUGUCAUCAUGCCCAGCUAAUUUUUUCUUUCUUUCUUUUUCUUUUUUUUUUUUUUUGGUAUUUUUUGUAGAGACAGUUUCACCAUGUUGUCCAGACUGGUCUCAAACUCCUGGGCUCAAGUGAUCCUCCUGCCUCAGUCAACCAAAGUGCUAGGAUUAUAUGCGUGAGCCACUGUGCCCGAUCUAAAGUAAGUUUUAAAGGAUAUUUUUUCAGGAAGAAGACAACUGUAUACAGAAGGAAUGAAUGAUAGGAAAUAAGAGAAUUAGAAAAGAAAUUUAAGAAUCUGGCUAAUGUAACAAACAUUAAUUGAGCAGAAGACUAAUAAUACAAUAAUUAUUAAUUUAUUUUUAAAUUGAUAAUCAUGCAGGUAUUUGGGCAUUAACAAAACAAGGUGAAGCCAAAUACUUGCUUUAACAAUAAAUUGACCAGGUGCAGUGGCUCACGCCUGUAAUCCCAGCACUUUGGGAGGCCAAGACGGGUGGAUCACUUGAGGUCAGGAGUUCGAGACCAGCCUGGCCACUAUGGCGAAACCCUGUCUCUAUCAAAAAUGCAAAAUUAGAUGGGCGUGGUGGCGGGCGCCUGUUAUCUCAGCUACUUAGAAGGCUGAGGCAUGAGAAUCACUUGAACCUGGGAGGCAGAGGUUGCAGUGAACCAAGAUUGUGCCAUUGCACUCCAGCCUAGACAAAAAAAGCAAAACUUCGUCUCAAAAAACAAAAACAAAAACAAUAAUGAAUGCACAUUUUUCAAGCACAAAUAGAACAUUUAUAGAAAUUGACCAUAUUACAAGUCUAAUUUUAGCACAUUAUAAAGAAUUAGUAUAAUACAAACCUCAUUCUCUGACAAAAUGUAGUAAAGGCAGAAAUUUGUAACAAAUAACUUCUAAAUAAUCAUGUAUGCUUUGACAACAGUUGAAAGACUUCUGAAUUAACCAUGGGUCAAAGAAAAAAUUGCAAUGAAAAAUGAAAAUACCUGGAAGCAAACAAUAAUAAAUGUUAUCAUCAAAACCUGUGAAAUGGCUCCAGAGAGGGACGUCCCCAGGAUUGACCCCUAAAAGUGAAAAUGGAGCUCAGCAGAGUGGCUCACAACAGUGAUUCUCAACAGUAACUCCAUCUCCAGUGCUUCCGACAGGCUCUCUCCCUCUCCUUCCCCACCGAGGUACAUGCUGGGUUACAGCAGUCAAUCUCCUCCUUACUGGAGUGCUAAUAAUUGGCUUCAGAAAGGCGUCCAGAAACCCUGGACUGGCAGAACCUCAAUGCGGUUGAAGGUAUGGAGCCUGGGCCUCAGAUUUGCAGCACCAGACCCCUGCACUUGUAGAUGCAACCUAAUUUGACCAGGUUCUCAAGGUGGCCCUAAUUAGACUCUCAAAGACUGAUACAUAAUAAGCCAGAAUGUUCUUCAGGUUACCUGGGAAACUAAGAGCCAUCAGAAGGUUGCUUAGUGAGGCUGCAAUCAGAGCAAAUGGAAUUGAAAGCUCUUGAGGGGAUUUUCUCAGGUCAUAGAAAAUUAUCAUGAGUGAUUCUUGUUCCGAAGUAUUGUCCCCUCUCUAGAGGCCAAAAUCUCACAUCCACGGAACUGAGACCCUCAGUGACUCCUUGCUCAUCCUUGGCGGGUCACUGAGUCCUGUCAUUCAGUCCGCUGGACCUGGACACCCAUCGUCACUGCUAGUGUCUUGGCUCUGUGAUCUACUAUGUGUGUCCAAAUCUCAGUCCACAAAUUGAGGAGUAGAGGACUGUGACUUUACUCUUUUACAGAACAACUUGAUUUCUAUUUUGUGUCCUGUCCUGCUGGGUGACAGAAAUUUAAUGACUCAACUAUAAAUCCCCCCAAUAUUUCCCCCGUGUUGCCCCUAAAUUCGGCAGUGGCUUUAGGAGUGCCACAGCACUGGAGGUGGGGUUAGGGGUUUGCUUCUUCACAUCAUCUUGACCACAUGUGAGUGUGGGAUAGUCUGGUUUCCUGCUGCCUCGGGGUCCUUGCUGUUCCCCACUGUGCCUUCUCCUGCCAGCCUUGCCCAUAUGGCUCUGCCAUGCGGGGACAGUGCUACUUCUGUGCCAAUCUUUAUUGCCUGAGUCCCCCAGCACCCAGACUGCUGAAAUUAAAAGAUGAGCACCAACAA